Molecule: ribosomal RNA, 491 nt
Filed under: uncultured bacterium
Lineage: Bacteria
Description: partial 16S ribosomal RNA
Rfam family: Bacterial small subunit ribosomal RNA
Source: RNAcentral
AUGAACGCUAGCUACAGGCUUAACCCCUGCAAGUCGCGGGGAAACGACAUCGAAAGCUUGCUUUUGAUGGGCGUCGACCGGCGCACGGGUGAGUAACGCGUAUCCAACCUGCCCAUCACUUGGGAAUAACCUUGCGAAAGUAAGACUAAUACCCAAUGAUAUCCCACGAAGGCAUCGGAAUGGGAUUAAAGAUUUAUCGGUGAUGGAUGGGGAUGCGUCUGAUUAGCUUGUUGGCGGGGUAACGGCCCACCAAGGCAACGAUCAGGAGGGGUUCUGAGAGGAAGGUCCCCCACAUUGGAACUGAGACACGGUCCAAACUCCUACGGGAGGCAGCAGUGAGGAAGAUUGGUCAAUGGGCGAGAGCCUGAACCAGCCAAGUAGCGUGCAGGAAGACGGCCCUAUGGGUUGUAAACUGCUUUUAUAAGGGAAUAAAGUGGGUCACGUGUGACUUUUUGCAGGUACCUUAUGAAUAAGGACCGGCUAAUUCCGUG